Molecule: ribosomal RNA, 454 nt
Filed under: uncultured Mucilaginibacter sp.
Lineage: Bacteria; Pseudomonadati; Bacteroidota; Sphingobacteriia; Sphingobacteriales; Sphingobacteriaceae
Description: partial 16S ribosomal RNA
Rfam family: Bacterial small subunit ribosomal RNA
Source: RNAcentral
ACGGGAGGCAGCAGUGAGGAAUAUUGGUCAAUGGUCGGAAGACUGAACCAGCCAAGUCGCGUGCAGGAAGACGGUCCUAUGGAUUGUAAACUGCUUUUGUACGGGAAUAAAGUGCGGGACGUGUCCCGUUUGGAAUGUACCGUAAGAAUAAGGGUCGGCUAACUCCGUGCCAGCAGCCGCGGUAAUACGGAGGACCCGAGCGUUAUCCGGAUUUAUUGGGUUUAAAGGGUGCGCAGGCGGAUCGGUAAGUCAGGGGUGAAAAGUUGGGGCUCAACUCCAAUCGUGCCUUUGAUACUGCCGGACUAGAGUGCGAUAGACGUGGCCGGAAUGUGAUGUGUAGCGGUGAAAUGCUUAGAUAUGUCACAGAACACCGAUCGAGAAGUCAGGUCACGAGCUCGCAACUGACGCUCAGGCACGAAAGCGUGGGGAUCAAACAGGAUUAGAUACCCUGGUA